AUCUUCUCGUCCUUACAACUGCAGGUUCCCAGCCCCAGUUCUUACUUUUCACUAAUCACUAAAUAACCAUCCCUCACCCCACGGUUUGCAUCACAGCGCUGUUGUGUGAGCAUAAGCGUUUACUCAUAAGCGGAGACGUAACGUGCACCAUCAGAAAUACUUGGCACUGGGUGUUUCCCAUGUUAAAACUAUAUCUGCUGUCCGAAAAAGGAAUAGCUCGGAGAGCCAGGCAGCAGCCAGCAGCUGCAGUGUCCUGUGAGGAGCAGACUGAGAAGAGCUCCACAAAGCUCAAUAGCGUGGCUAUAAAGGAGUAGUAAAUAGACUUACAGCCGGGACUGGUAGUAAAUGGGGGGAAAAAAUGAGUCAAAGAGACAAAACCAGAGAACAAAUCAUCCUUGGGGAAAAAAAAAAGCUGACAGCUGUAGUUUUGACAAGAAUGCUUCAAAAAGAAACUCUCCAGUUUUCUGUUUAUAUAUAUGCAAAUUUUUUGUAAUUUAGUGCUGAAGCUUCCUUAAUCUUAACACAGGGACUCUGCAUUUUGUUAUUCAGUAGGAUCAACUCCUAUUCUGUUUUGGUUUCCCCAACCCGGGUCUGUACAAGAGGCAGAGAGGGCCGAGGAUGGGCCCCCCCAGCUCUGAAGCCUGUGAUGCCACGUGUGCAGAAAUAAAAUUCCGUUAAUGCCUGCAGAUUGUUUCUGAGUGAUUCACCACAACUCUCAAAGCACGCUAUUUUAUUUGGUUCCUCUUACAGACAAGCAGCUCAGUGCAUCUGUGAGAUGAAGACUGAAGAAUCCAGAAUUCCUAGUGCUCAGGCAUUGAUCCUUCCAUUCCUGUUAUUUUAUUUAAGGGAAUUUUUGUUACGUGGUUUUCAAGCAUCUACCUGCCUUGCCCUCAGCCAGUGCUUACACUCACCUGAGCAGCUGCUUUUCCUUAGAUGCUCACAAAAUUAUCACUGUUGCUCCAGUUCUCUGACCCUUUAUCUCUAUAACUAGAGCAGCCAGAGGCAAUGAGAAUUGUGUAACCAUCUCCCCACUUCCCAAAUGCUUGGGACAGGUCUGGUAACUUUGAUAGUAUGUCUCAUGGGACACACAGAAUAAAUCUCUAUUAGAUUAGGGCACUUAUAAAUAAACUGGCUGCUUGCUAAAGAAAAAAAUGAAAAGGUCUUUAUUUUAGUUACUGGAUGAGAGAAGCAAGGAACACAAAUAUUUUGGCUAAUAUUAAACUAUUGGUAAAUGAUGAAAAAUCAGUAUCUUUAUUUUAAAAGUUAUCUAAAGCCAUGUAAUGAAAAUUAAACUACUGUCAGAUUGAAUGCCAACAAUUUAAAACCAGCAUGCCAUCUACAAUCUAAGGGUGUACAGAAUUACCCUGCACAGAUGGGACUCAAAGACUAGUCGUAUGGCCAGGUGAUAAAGAACUAAAAGUAAUGUUUUUUAUAGCAGAACAGCAUCUGUGAUAACCCACAGCCAUCCUCAGACACUGUGGAACUUGGCGGCAGAUUCACCGCUGAGAUAUAAAACACAUGACGAGCACGUAGUGACAUCAAAAGGAGUGCAAUGUAAUGGUGUUCAGAUGUCUCCCCUCAAGCCCACACAAAAGCUGCUCUGAGGGCUGCUGGAGCUCAGAACUCUCAAUGAUUCCCUUUUUAUAAGCCUGUUGUUAUCAAAUCCAAGGAGUCUUAUGAGCAGCACCUCCUGACUGUUCCUUUGCUAACUGAAGAGCAUGAAGGCUUCUUCUGUUGCCUGAAAGACGUGUGAAGGUUCAGGUUUUCGACCUCAAAUCCUGUUUUUACUUCAGAAGUCGAUUGCACAAGCGGACAGUGAAUGAGUGUCUCCGUUUCCCUUGCGGUCAGAGAAGAUCCUAUUCAUACUGAGUUUACAAGCAAACACUUCCUUUGGUAAGCUUCCCAUGCAAUUCAAUUCAUGUGUGUGCUUUCAGGCUCUGUCUUUGGGUCUGGACUAACAUCAGAACAAGCAAGAGAGGCAAGCUCUCUUCUCAGCCCACCACAGCCUUUUCUGCAGUGCUUUGAAAUGAUGAAACACACUGUGUUUUCUGCACACUGCUGCAGUCCUGUCAAGUCACUGCGAUUAUUCAUGCAUCAAGAGGCUAAGCACAUACAUGGGUAUCUACUGGAUGAUGUACACCCAUUCCAGAAUUUUACUUGCUUAACAAUCAAUCUAAUGUUUUUGCUCUUUAUAGUUACUGGCUGGGAGCCUAGAAUCUGCUGGCACCUACACACAGGAUUCUCCUCUGAGCAUUCUGUGACCACGUCAGGUGUUUGAAAUAUUAUGUAUUAACAAUAAGUACUUUAUGACCAGAAAAUAAAUUGUAAUUAAUGGAAGACUUGGAAUUUGCCGUCAGUACUAGUCUGUACCUGUAGUGAGGAGCCAUCAGCUUAAG
Long non-coding RNA from Passer montanus (Eurasian tree sparrow), 2396 nucleotides. RefSeq lists it as uncharacterized. The transcript has 3 exons. The record is from RefSeq and is a predicted model, not a curated record. NCBI's taxonomy places the organism in Eukaryota, Metazoa, Chordata, Aves, Passeriformes, Passeridae.